UUUAACCACCAUCAUCCAGCAGUGGGACUUCCACCCUCGGCCCCAUGCCCCCCUCCUCAUUCUUGCUUUCUUCCUCUGGGCUGACCCAGACAGCAUCAUUUUGCACUACAACUACUGCCGGGAAGACGAGGAGAUCUACAAGGAGUUCUUUGAAGUAGCCAAUGAUGUCAUCCCCAACCUGCUGAAGGAGGCAGCCAGCUUGCUGGAGGCGGGCGAGGAGCGGCCGGGGGAGCAAAGCCAGGGCACCCAGAGCCAAGGUUCCGCCCUCCAGGACCCUGAGUGCUUCGCCCACCUGCUGCGAUUCUACGACGGCA
This 314-nucleotide long non-coding RNA is filed under the name Homo sapiens (human). Its description in RNAcentral is "non-protein coding lnc-MAP4K2-1:1". The record is from RNAcentral. Lineage: Eukaryota; Metazoa; Chordata; Mammalia; Primates; Hominidae.